UCUCGACUUGUAUUAAGGCGAUGGGCUUGUGCUUCUUGUUCCUGUUUAAGAUUCGGCGGCUUCAUCGCUUUGAUCCUCUCAUUUGAACCAAUAAUAUAUUUGCUCGUGAAUUGUGUUUUUGGCUACCGAGUUAUGCGUCUUGAUUCUAUUAUAAGGGCGAUAGGGUUUCCUGUAAGGCAGCAAUGCUGAGAUUAUAACCAGAUGGAAUUUUGCUUCAACAAACGCUACCUUGGUUUUUUAGUAGUAGAUUAUAUAUUCGAGGAGUACCUCAGCAAUUAAUGAUUUGGGAUAAAGAUGAAGGAUUUUGGAAGAAUUAGGGCGGAGUCAUGAAGCCAAAAACUGAAUAGUAAGACUAUUAAGCGAAUUUAUCUCUCUGAUCAAAAAGUAUUUCAUCGUACAAGCCUGCAGAUCAAUCAAAACAAAUAUCGGUUAGCAAACUACAUGGUUACGUUCAAUCCUGAGCCAAGAAGAGACAUGUAUCUACUGUCCUGCAUUGUUUUGGAAACUUUUCUCACCUUUGUGCCUAUGCUGACAAGAAAAAAAGAUUCUAGUUCUUUGACCCCUAAAGUCUCAACGAUUUAUGGAGUGGUCGGGAUUAUAAAGUUGCCUGCAGGAACUUAUGUGCUACUUAUUACUUCUCGAGAGGAAGUUGGUUCUUGUCUUGGUUUCUCUAUAUUCCAUGUGAUGUCAAUGAGAUUUUUGUCCUGCAAUGGGUCUCUAAAGCAUUCAAAAUCGCAGGAAAAAAGAGAUGAAGCUUACUUCAUGUCUCUUCUGAGAACCCUAGAAUCAACCCCUGGUUUAUAUUAUUCAUAUGAAAGGGAUUUAACACUGAACUUACAGAGGACAUGCAAGUUGACUGAAGAAAGGAUGCACAAGCCUCUAUGGAAACAGGCCGACCCACGCUUUGUGUGGAAUCAUAAUUUGAUGGAGGAUCUUAUUGAGAAUAAGCUUGAUGCCUUUACCAUUCCUGUGAUACAAGGAAGCUUUCAGUCUGUACAGUUCGCCUUAAAAGAUUCACCUGCCAGAAUUACAUUGAUCUCAAGAAGGUGCAAUCGUCGUCUAGGAACUAGGAUGUGGAGAAGAGGAGCAAAUCUGGAAGGUUCCACUGCUAAUUUUAUUGAGACUGAACAAAUUCUGGAGUUUGAAGGUUACAGAUCAUCAUUUAUACAGAUUCGGGGUUCUAUUCCACUUCUUUGGGAGCAAAUUGUGGACUUAAGCUACAAACCACGGCUCAAUAUUAUUAACCAUGAUGAAACGCCAAAGGUUGUUGAGCGCCAUUUUCGAGAUCUUAUACAGAGGUAUGGGGAGACGGUUGCUGUUGACUUAACUGAUAAAGAAGGUGAUGAAGGCCGGCUGAGUGAUGCAUUUGCUGCUGAGAUGGAAAAACUUCCAUAUGUUAGAUACGUGCGUUUUGAUUUCCACAAUGCAUGUGGCAAAGGGAUUUUUGAUAACUUGCAACUACUUUAUGAUCAAAUCAAAGAAAAUGUGGAAAACCAAGGAUAUCUUUUGAUCAACACUGAUGGAGAAAUACUAAUACAGCAGAAUGGAAUUGUCAGGGUUAAUUGCAUUGAUUGCCUGGAUCGGACAAAUGUUACCCAGAGUUAUGUGGCUAGGAAAUUAUUGAAUUUACUACUGCAGCAAGUGGGAACAUUUUCAUCAAAUGAAUGUAUAUCCAUGUAUACUGACAUCUAUGAGAAGUUCAAGAACUUGUGGGCGGAACAUGGAGAUGAGAUAAGCUUGGAAUAUGCUGGUACUCAUGCUCUGAAAGGGGACCUAGUACGAUAUGGGAGACAGACUGUAUCUGGAAUAAUAAAGGAUGGAAUAAGUGCUCUCACACGAUAUUAUUUAAAUAACUUUCAAGAUGGCAUUCGACAAGAUGCGUUGGAUCUUAUUAGUGGUCGCUACACUGUCAGCAGAAGUGGUCCUCCUUUCCGGCUGAAUCGGUUUGAAUCAUCAUCAUAUCUCCCGGUGGCCUCAGCUCUCAUCGUGGGAGGUCUCACAAUGACAACAACACUUACAUUAAAUCAAGGCGGAAAUAGCACACAUGUUGUUUCUUCUGUACUCUUGGCUGGCUUGUCUGCAGGAGUGGUGCCUCUUGUUAAAGCUAAUUGGAAGCAGUUCUGCUCCAGGCCACGCUUGUGUGGCCUCUUGUAAGAUUGUGUUUUAUAUUGAUAUUUUAUUAAUUUUGGAUGUGCUGUGCAAGCUCAAUUUCAUUUGCUAUAUGUAACUAUGAAACGAUUUGUUUGUCAUUUAAUCUAAAUUGAUUCCAUAAGUUUCUUAUCAUAAUGAAUAUCCACAAGUCUCAGCUUCUUGCCAGAUAUGGUUCAUUGGAUUCCAUGCUCUGCGAUUAGCUCACUGCAUGAGAUUUUCAUUGCUUGGAGCAUGAUUAUACAAAAAGAGGAAAAGUUGUUCUUUCAGGUCAGAGCAACAGAUUGGUUAUAAUAUCCAACAAUGAAUUAAUGAGAUGUUAUUGGAAAUGAAAAUUUGGAGUGUUUUUAAGAAAUUAUAUCUGAAAUUUAUGCAAUGUUGCCAAAUUGUAUAUUCAGGUUGCAAAAAUAGCUAGACGUGCCUAAAAAUUUUCUUUUCUAGCAAGUUUAUGUGAUGGUAACUGCGAAAAUGUAUGCCAUGUCGUGAUGAGCAAUUUUAGACCUGCAAAUUAGAACAAGAUACAUGGUUCUUAUUGGCAAUAAGCAUGAUCAUGUCUGUUGCAGUGACAACUGAGCACCUUGUUCUUGCUUAGGAUGGAAUGGUUGAAUUCUUCAAUGCUGGUUGCUGGGUUAGGCAUGCUACAAGUAUUCCUCUCCAUGACGAAAAAUUCAGCAACAUUAUCAUUGUCUUCAGGAGAACAAUUAUAGCAGAUUCACCACAUGAUGGUUGUUGCAACCAGACCUGUGAGACCAAUUGUUUAUUUCACUUUGGUCUUUCAUAUCUCCUGUGCAUAUCAAUUUCAGCUGGUUGAGUUGCCCACUAAGUGAGCCUGAGUGGAGUUAUCACUAAUUAGAAUUCCAGUCUUGGGAGAGGAUAAACUGCACCGGAACCACUAAGUUGGCUACCCAGACUUUUUCCCUCACACUAGUGGUUAUUCAGUCUUAUUUGACCCUCCAGUUGUGUGUGUGUGUAGGGGAUAUCAGCCUGGGACUUGCUGUGUGUGCUGUGCAAUAGAUCUUGUGCAUCUUUUAUAAGCAUUACGUUACCAGAGGCAACAAUUCAGUGUUGUUCAUCCUGGGAAUGUGCUGAUGGAUUUUGACCCCCACCUUGUAAAUAUUACAGUAUGCUCAUAUCUUCUUUUUGCCUCCUUUCUUAGAUGUCAGCUGAAAGUCCAUGCUGUGUGUGCCAACUUUUACCUGAGCUUUGUUUUGGAUGAUGAGUUCUCCUUCAGUGAAUUCUGACUGACGUAUCAUCUU
This is a non-coding RNA of Musa acuminata subsp. malaccensis (wild Malaysian banana), 3404 nucleotides long. Lineage: Eukaryota; Viridiplantae; Streptophyta; Magnoliopsida; Zingiberales; Musaceae. The record is from RefSeq and is a predicted model, not a curated record.